RNAcentral lists this ribosomal RNA (292 nucleotides) under uncultured bacterium. RNAcentral's name for it is "partial 16S ribosomal RNA". It matches the Rfam family "Bacterial small subunit ribosomal RNA", at positions 505 to 796 of the family's 1533-position model. The record is from RNAcentral.
GUGUCAGCCGCCGCGGUAAUACAGGGGGUGCAAACGUUGCUCGGAAUUAUUGGGCGUAAAGCGCGCGUAGGCGGUUUUCUAAGUCGGAUGUGAAAGCCCUUGGCUCAACUGAGGAAGUGCAUCCGAAACUGGAAAGCUAGAGUCCCAAAGAGGAUCGCGGAAUUCCCAGUGUAGAGGUGAAAUUCGUAGAUAUUGGGAGGAACACCGGUGGCGAAGGCGGCGAUCUGGGUGGUGACUGACGCUGAGGCGCGAAAGCGUGGGGAGCAAACAGGAUUAGAUACCCUCGUAGUCC